UUCCUCACUUGGUACAUGCAUUUUUAAUUAUAGAAAAUGGUGGAUUAAACUUGGUUUGGUAGCGCUAAACCUCUCAUUUUGUUUACAGUUUCAUCAAAUUCCGUUAUAUUUACAAUGAUGCUUGAUAGUCCAGUCGAUUUGUGAAACAAUUGCUCAGAUUGUGGUAAAAGCAUAAAAUUUUACAGAGUGUUAGUUGAGGUCAUAACUAACAUUUAUAGCUAUGGACCCAAUUCAGAAAAUCAAA
RNAcentral lists this long non-coding RNA (244 nucleotides) under Mytilus galloprovincialis (Mediterranean mussel). The record is from RNAcentral. Lineage: Eukaryota; Metazoa; Mollusca; Bivalvia; Mytilida; Mytilidae.